CCUACGGGUGGCAGCAGUGGGGAAUAUUGGGCAAUGGAGGAAACUCUGACCCAGCAACGCCGCGUGAAUGAUGAAGGUCUUCGGAUUGUAAAGUUCUUUUCUAAGGGAAGAAGAAAGUGACGGUACCUUAGGAAUAAGCCUCGGCUAACUACGUGCCAGCAGCCGCGGUAAUACGUAGGGGGCAAGCGUUAUCCGGAUUUACUGGGUGUAAAGGGAGCGUAGACGGCGUCGCAAGUCUGAAGUGAAAGCCCGUGGCUCAACCGCGGAACCGCUUUGGAAACUGCGUGGCUGGAGUGCUGGAGAGGUAAGCGGAAUUCCUGGUGUAGCGGUGAAAUGCGUAGAUAUCAGGAGGAACACCGGUGGCGAAGGCGGCUUACUGGACAGUGACUGACGUUGAGGCUCGAAAGCGUGGGGAGCGAACAGGAUUAGAUACCCUGGUAGUC
RNAcentral lists this ribosomal RNA (443 nucleotides) under uncultured bacterium. RNAcentral's name for it is "partial 16S ribosomal RNA". It matches the Rfam family "Bacterial small subunit ribosomal RNA", at positions 338 to 795 of the family's 1533-position model. The record is from RNAcentral.